This 352-nucleotide ribosomal RNA is filed under the name uncultured Leptolinea sp. RNAcentral describes it as "bacterial SSU rRNA". It matches the Rfam family "Bacterial small subunit ribosomal RNA", at positions 1013 to 1382 of the family's 1533-position model. Lineage: Bacteria; Bacillati; Chloroflexota; Anaerolineae; Anaerolineales; Anaerolineaceae. The record is from RNAcentral.
GACCUUCGGGAGCUUGCACAGGUGCUGCAUGGCUGUCGUCAGCUCGUGUCGUGAGAUGUUCGGUUAAGUCCGCUAACGAGCGCAACCCUCGCUGUGUGUUAUAUGUGUCACACGGGACUGCCGGUCUUAAGCCGGAGGAAGGUGGGGAUGAUGUCAAGUCAGCAUGGCCUUUAUAUCCUGGGCUACACACACGCUACAAUGGCCAACACAAUAGGUUGCUAAGCCGCGAGGUGGCGCCAAUCCAUAAAGUUAGGUCUCAGUUCAGAUUGUAGGCUGCAACCCGCCUGCAUGAAGAUGGAGUUGCUAGUAACCGCAGGUCAGCUAUACUGCGGUGAAUACGUUCCCGGGUCUU